RNAcentral lists this signal recognition particle RNA (100 nucleotides) under human gut metagenome. Its description in RNAcentral is "Bacteroidales small SRP". It matches the Rfam family "Bacteroidales small SRP". Rfam says of the family: The non-coding component of the signal recognition particle in Bacteroides The record is from RNAcentral.
CGGGUAAGUCCUAUACGACCAGCUCCCUUAGAAUCCCCCAGGGUUUGAUCGCAGCAAGGGUAAUUUGGUUGUAGCGGUGCGAUGUAGAUUGCUUGCCCGC